GCGGCUCCGUUCCGUCGGGAUCGUGCGAGAGCGCGGCGCGCUGGCCCACUCCGUUAGCGGGAGGGAAGCUAUCCACAAAAUCGGAGGAAACGAAGCUGGCAGAGAGCCAAUAAUAAGCACUUCAUGAAUGCUGGCAACAUCCCACAAACAUUGCAAAGGAUGACUAAUAGAUUUGAAUUCUGAAUACCAGAUCCCUCGGUGUUGACCACAUGACUACAACACAGCAGCAAGAGAGACUGGCAUUUUGACCCAGAGGACUUCAGGUCACUCUGGAGCCUCCCACUCCAUAAGUCCUGAGAACCUCCAGGAAGAUGUGGCAACAGUGAUGGACUGAAGACCAGGAAAGCCUGUAGGUAAUCUGCUGGAAAAGA
Molecule: long non-coding RNA, 371 nt
Organism: Dryobates pubescens (Downy woodpecker)
Lineage: Eukaryota; Metazoa; Chordata; Aves; Piciformes; Picidae
Exons: 3
Source: RefSeq, a predicted model, not a curated record